Molecule: ribosomal RNA, 1401 nt
Filed under: uncultured bacterium
Lineage: Bacteria
Description: bacterial SSU rRNA
Rfam family: Bacterial small subunit ribosomal RNA
Source: RNAcentral
GAAUUCGCCCUUAGAGUUUGAUCCUGGCUCAGGAUGAACGCUGGCGGCGUGCUUAACACAUGCAAGUCGAACGGGAAACCUUUUAUUGAAGCUUCGGCAGAUUUAGCUGGUUUCUAGUGGCGGACGGGUGAGUAACGCGUGGGUAACCUGCCUUAUACAGGGGGAUAACAACCAGAAAUGGUUGCUAAUACCGCAUAAGCGCACAGGACCGCAUGGUCUAGUGUGAAAAACUCCGGUGGUAUAAGAUGGACCCGCGUUGGAUUAGCUAGUUGGCAGGGUAACGGCCUACCAAGGCGACGAUCCAUAGCCGGCCUGAGAGGGUGAACGGCCACAUUGGGACUGAGACACGGCCCAGACUCCUACGGGAGGCAGCAGUGGGGAAUAUUGCACAAUGGGGGAAACCCUGAUGCAGCGACGCCGCGUGAAGGAAGAAGUAUCUCGGUAUGUAAACUUCUAUCAGCAGGGAAGAUAGUGACGGUACCUGACUAAGAAGCCCCGGCUAACUACGUGCCAGCAGCCGCGGUAAUACGUAGGGGGCAAGCGUUAUCCGGAUUUACUGGGUGUAAAGGGAGCGUAGACGGACUGGCAAGUCUGAUGUGAAAGGCGGGGGCUCAACCCCUGGACUGCAUUGGAAACUGUUAGUCUUGAGUGCCGGAGAGGUAAGCGGAAUUCCUAGUGUAGCGGUGAAAUGCGUAGAUAUUAGGAGGAACACCAGUGGCGAAGGCGGCCUACUGGGCUUUAACUGACGCUGAGGCACGAAAGUGUGGGUAGCAAACAGGAUUAGAUACCCUGGUAGUCCACACUGUAAACGAUGAUUUACUAGGUGUGGGGGGUUUAACCCCCUCCGUGCCGGAGUUUAACACAAAUAAGUAAUCCACCUGGGGAGUACGACCGCAAGGUUGAAACUCAAAGGAAUUGACGGGGGCCCGCACAAGCAGUGGAGUAUGUGGUUUAAUUCGACGCAACGCGAAGAACCUUACCAGGUCUUGACAUCCAACUAACGAAGCAGAGAUGCAUUAGGUGCCCUUCGGGGAAAGUUGAGACAGGUGGUGCAUGGUUGUCGUCAGCUCGUGUCGUGAGAUGUUGGGUUAAGUCCCGCAACGAGCGCAACCCUUGUGAUUAGUUGCUACGCAAGAGCACUCUAAUCAGACUGCCGUUGACAAAACGGAGGAAGGUGGGGACGACGUCAAAUCAUCAUGCCCUUUAUGACCUGGGCUACACACGUACUACAAUGGUCGUUAACAGAGGGAAGCAAUACCGCGAGGUGGAGCAAAACCCUAAAAACGGUCUCAGUUCAGAUUGUAGGCUGCAACUCGCCUACAUGAAGUUGGAAUUGCUAGUAAUCGCGGAUCAGCAUGCCGCGGUGAAUACGUUCCCGGGCCUUGUACACACCGCCCGUCA